CCUACGGGAGGCAGCAGUGAGGAAUAUUUGUCAAUGGACGAGAGUCUGAACCAGCCAAGUAGCGUGAAGGAUGACUGCCCUAUGGGUUGUAAACUUCUUUUAUACGGGAAUAAAAUGCUUCACGUGUGGGAUUUUGUAUGUACCAUAUGAAUAAGGAUCGGCUAACUCCGUGCCAGCCGCCGCGGUAAUACGGAGGAUCCGAGCGUUAUCCGGAUUUAUUGGGUUUAAAGGGAGCGUAGGUGGAUUGUUAAGUCAGUUGUGAAAGUCUGCGGCUCAACCGUAAAAUUGCAGUUGAAACUGGCAGUCUUGAGUGCGGUAGAGGUGGGCGGAAUUCGUGGUGUAGCGGUGAAAUGCUUAGAUAUCACGAAGAACUCCGAUUGCGAAGGCAGUUCACUGGACUGCAACUGACGCUGAGGCUCGAAAGUGUGGGUAUCGAACAGGAUUAGAUACCCUAGUAGUC
Molecule: ribosomal RNA, 460 nt
Filed under: uncultured bacterium
Lineage: Bacteria
Description: partial 16S ribosomal RNA
Rfam family: Bacterial small subunit ribosomal RNA
Source: RNAcentral